This 49-nucleotide transfer RNA is filed under the name Phytophthora nicotianae INRA-310. RNAcentral's name for it is "Phytophthora parasitica INRA-310 tRNA-Leu". It matches the Rfam family "tRNA", at positions 24 to 71 of the family's 71-position model. From Rfam's summary of the family: Transfer RNA (tRNA) molecules are approximately 80 nucleotides in length. Their secondary structure includes four short double-helical elements and three loops (D, anti-codon, and T loops). Lineage: Eukaryota; Oomycota; Peronosporomycetes; Peronosporales; Peronosporaceae. The record is from RNAcentral.
CGUUGGCUUUGAAAGCCACAGGUCGGUGGUUCAAUUCCACCCGGGCACA